Molecule: non-coding RNA, 28 nt
Filed under: Rattus norvegicus (Norway rat)
Lineage: Eukaryota; Metazoa; Chordata; Mammalia; Rodentia; Muridae
Source: RNAcentral
UCUUUCAGGUGAAGGAAAGGGUCCCCAA